AUUGAACGCUGGCGGCAGGCCUAACACAUGCAAGUCGAGCGGUUGAGAGUAGCUUGCUACUUGAUGCAGCGGCGGACGGGUGAGUAAUGCAUGGGAAUCUGCCUGGUAGUGGGGGACAACGUUUCGAAAGGAACGCUAAUACCGCAUACGCCCUACGGGGAAAGGGGGGGAGUCUUCGGACCUCUCGCUAUCAGAUGAGCCCAUGUCAGAUUAGCUAGUUGGGGGGGUAAAGGCCCACCAAGGCGACGAUCUGUAACUGGUCUGAGAGGAUGAUCAGUCACACUGGAACUGAGACACGGUCCAGACUCCUACGGGAGCAGCAGUGGGAAUAUUGGACAAUGGGCGAAAGCCUGAUCCAGCCAUGCCGCGUGUGUGAAGAAGGCCUUCGGUUGUAACUGCUUUGUCCGGGGAGUAAAAGAAGUACCAUGCGUGG
Molecule: ribosomal RNA, 433 nt
Filed under: uncultured bacterium
Lineage: Bacteria
Description: bacterial SSU rRNA
Rfam family: Bacterial small subunit ribosomal RNA
Source: RNAcentral